GAUGCUGCAAGAAACCGAAGGGAGGACCGGUUCUGUUCAUUCAACAAACGUUCAUUGAGCUUGAGCUCUGCUGGGCGCCAUGCUUAGGCACUGGGCUAUGGUGGCUCAGGGUCUGAACCCUGCCCUCACCCGUUAUUGUUAGUUAGGGUAGGAUGGCCUUGCGCCCCGGGUCACGUCUGUGGAACCAGUGUAAUGAUUAAAAAGUGUUCCAGUAUGGGGGGGAAGGCUAGUUAAGGAACUUUGUCCCCCAAUUCAGGGAAGGCUCCCAGCGUGCAGGGAAUGAAGACCAACUAUUGUCUGAUCACUCUGCAACAGGCACUUUUUUGGGCCCUUUGUAUUCUCUGUAAUCUUUGCCCCUCGUUCUGCAAGGUGUGCAAACAGCUCCAGAACCAUCACUGGCCUGGGAUAUCCUGGACUGAUUUCAUAUACCAGGUAGAAGAUUGGAGUUGACAACAUUGAGGUACCUCCUGGCUGGGAGAUUCUGUGAGCUUUGGCUGGGCGAGCACACAUGUGGGAAAUAUGACUCUAUGUGUGGGAAGGGGGUCCAUGGCCCAGGCCUGCAUUGGCAUCCAUUUCCUCAGAGGAUGCCAGAGAUGCCAUCAGAUGGCCCAGGGGCAUGAGGCCCAGGUGAGGCACUUCAGCUGCCUGGGGUCCCUCCCCCAGCCCCACCCUCAAAGGCCCUGGAGCCCAGGCCUGUGCUGACUGCCAGGGCCUUUCCUGGAACUCAGCAGAGGACGGAGCCCCUCCCUGCCAGCCCUGGCACACGCCAGGCACAGCGUGUCCCCUGGGGCACCUUGCAGACACCCCAGGAGGCUGGGGUGUGGGACAGGUCUCCACCUCCAGGAAGAGUCCUGCUCUGGGCUGCCAUCUGAGCUCCCUGCCCCGGGCUGUCAUCCUCACCAAGGCCCUACCAGACCACAGGGGACAGCAGGCACAGCAGAGGAAGGAGAAGCUUUGUGGCUGGGUGGCAGGAUUCAUGGGUCUUUGUUGUGGCUUUGGGUGGGAGGGUGGGGAAGGCAGAAAAGCAGGGUCUCAGGCUUCAAAGCACCUCCCCACCUGCUUCUCCCUCCCUCUGAGGAAAUCUUCAGGGGCCUCGUGGUUUUGAGGGGAGGGGACAGGAAGAGACUCUAAACUCUGGGUCAGCCAAGGACAGAGGUGGAGGAGAUCUUCUUGCCCUAUAUCCCAUUUUCUCUCAGCAUCCUCUUCCUGUGCUCCCCGCCACCCUAGAAGAAAUUUCUACCUCCAUCUGCCGCUAUGAGUUACACCCCCCCACACCAAGACCUCCAGGGGCCUCCAAGAGUGGUGGGCUUUGGGGAAAACGGGCCUUGUACACAGAAGCUGCAGGCCGGGCCACACCUGCCCAGGGGGGCAGGAGGAGAGCUCCCCUCCCAGAUGGGCCGAGGCUGCUCAGCUCGGGCUGGGGGGCCGAUCGACGCUGGAACGCAGGGGCGAGAAGGCAGAGGGAUGCUCACAGGGGCCACGUAGAGGUCCCGCGCGGCAGGCAGGGGCAGGCAGGGGCGGGAGCCGGGGAGCCGGCGGUACGCCCGCACCCCCCCCCCUCCUCCUCCCCCGGGCUCGAGGGAGCCUCCGAGAGUCGGGUCGUCGCUGACCGCAGGCUGCAAGAGCGGUUGAUCUGGUGAGCGAGCACACCCACUUACCCAGCUGCUGAGUCAGGCUGUUCUCGCUCCCCGCUCGCCCGCCCGCUCGGGACAUUGUGUUCCAGCCCCGGCGCGCUGGCACCGGGCCCAGGCGCUCACACCAGCCUCCUCGCCCUGUUUGUGCUCGCGGCUUGCGCUCGGCGCGCAGCCUCCCCGCCGCCGCAGCCCUGCGAGUGCGCGCUGGGGCCCGGCCAGGGGCGGCCGGGGGGCUGGUGCGGAGCCCCGGCGACGCGCCCCCGGCCCGCGAGGCCCCGCAGCCCAGCCCGGGCGCCAGCCUUACGUACAGCACCCAGACCUCUCCAGCCCCCACCUGAGCCCUGCUGUGGAAGCCCGGGCGCGCGUGGGGCCCGAGCGGCACACUUGGGGGGGGGGGCAGGUGUCGGUAGCUCCUCGAGGGAGAAGGAGCCGCCCAGGCUGCCGCCCAAGCCCCGCUAGCGCUCGGUCCAGUCUGGAGGAGGAUAGCUUGGGAGCGCGCCAGCCCCACACUUGGAAGACCUGGGAUGCAGUCACGUGACAACGGAAGCCCGCUGGAGGGGGGCCGAUUCAAGCGAUCCCCCCACCCCCACCCCACCCCCGCCACGAGGAGCCUCCUCCUCCUCGUGCCUCGGACCCUCUUCCCCGUCCGCUCUUCGCACCAGCCUGGAGACUCCAGGGAUUCCCAAGGGCUGGCAAACCAAACCCAGCCCUUUGGGAGAGCUUGGGAAACCCCUGGCAGGACGCCGGCAGUACGAAGAGCCCGGGAGCAGACGGCAGGGUGGAGAAGACGACCCCGAACUGGAACGUGACCCCUCCCUUUGUUCCAGCCCCAAACCCGGAUUUAUUCAGAGCCACGUUUUCUCUUUACCCAUCCAUCUACAGAAAGACGUCAUUGAGUGCAGUUCCUGAAGGUUCCACCGUCUCCAAACCAAGGAGGGGACAAAGGACUGACAUACUGAGCAUACCAUAUGGAAGGCUCUGUUGGGUCGUGCUAACGAUGUCAGUAGAAAGUUGAAGACACAAUUCCUAAAGUCCUUUCGUCUCCCACCUUCCAACCUCCGCAGUGUGCUGUGCCAUUUCUGCUGCCAGGGGUGCCCAUGCUCCGAGGCUACCCAUCUCUUCAGCUCCAGCUCAGAAAGCCCGCUUGAAACAGCGCCAGCCAAAUCUGAUUCCUCUCCCCUCCCAAUGCCCGGCACAGUCAGUCUGUACCUUUCUCACGGCACAGCGUGUGGCCUGUCUCGUAUUCUAGUGAUCUGUUUACUAAUCCUGUGCUUCUAACCAGAUUAAAAAGUCCUUGAGGCGGAAACAAAGUCUGCCUCUUUGAGCCCCCUCCCCCCCCCCCCCAACACUUGAGCUCAUCCCCCACAGGCCAAGUUUGGCACUGGAGUUGAUGUUCAGUAAAUGUUGGGUGUAUUGAAAUGAUUUCCUGCCCUUGGGCAGUUUGCAGACCAGUUGAAGAGACAAACACACAGCUCGUGAGGUUAAAUAAUAACCCAAGCCAGCAGGUGAUAUCCAUCAUGGACAUUCUCUGUCCCAAAUCGUGACUUUGAGCCCCGUCUCUGCCACGUACUACCAGCGGGAUCCUAGGACAAGCACUUCAUCACCAUAAGCCUCAGUUUCAUCAUCUGUAAACAGGCAGAGGAAAUUCCUCGCCACUGGACCGCACCCGCCCUUGAGGACCUCCCCAUCUCUUUGGGCAGAGCAGAAGCCAGACAGAGCAGGGGACUGUGAAGUGACAAUCCUCAGCCCUGUGUGUGCCAGGAGCCCCCGAGGGGCAGGCACCACACUGCAGGCGGGCAGGGGCCGCAGAGGAGCGUGGUGUGGGCUGCUGGGACAGAGCUCCUCUCAGAGGAGGUGGGGACCCCGUGGAGUACGUGACUUGUGCCCUUCCAGGCUGCACGCUCCAGUUAGCAGGACAGAGACCCCUCCCCACCCAUCUCCAACCUUCCCAGGCUUCCUGCUCUGCUGGGAGGCCCUGUCACCACACACACACAUACUCUCUCUCUCUCUCUCUCUUGCACUCACACCCCCCUCCCAGGCACCCCUGAGACGACCAGCUGCAGCUGGGAGGUGGGGGUGGGGAGAGUACUGCCAGGGUUCUCAGAUCCCUAGCCUCCCUCUCCCACCCCUCCCUCGCCCCCAACUGCUGAGCUGCUUCUAGGUUUAAAGCAAAACAUGAAUCUGUCCUUCCUGCUGUUCAGUGGCAGCAGCCCUGCCUGGAAUUAUUUUUAGCAUGGAUGCAGGGAAGGCACAGUUCUCCUUGACUUUCACUGGGGACAUCCCCCACCCCCCCAGCCAAGACUUGGCGGGGGGGGGGGGAGGUCAGUACGGAAACCCCCCUCCCAGAAAGGGGAAAUGGGUGUGUUUUCUGUUCCUUCAGCUCACUAGAACAGGAGUUGUAGUCAAGCUUGGGGUUGUGCUGAUGGGAAAUUCUAGGUUCCAAAGCCCAUGGGUUCCACCCCACCUCUGUCUGUGUCCCCCUAAGUCUGAGAAGCAGGAAGUGCAUGGUGUCUGCAGCCGAGAUGCCCAAUCUGUGGGUGUUGGGGUCCAAGGGGAGCCACUUGGUUACACCCAACACUGUGGACUAACGACAUAGGGACACCUAUGGGUGCAGGGUGUGGUGUUUACAUGGGUGCUUGCUUUAUAAUUGAUUAAACUGAGCAUGUCUAUUCUAUA
Felis catus (domestic cat) is the source of this 4310-nucleotide long non-coding RNA. RefSeq lists it as uncharacterized. The record is from RefSeq and is a predicted model, not a curated record. The transcript has 4 exons. NCBI's taxonomy places the organism in Eukaryota, Metazoa, Chordata, Mammalia, Carnivora, Felidae.